GAUGUCAUCAAGCCAGCAUGCAAUUCCCCAGUGUAUUUAAACCCAGCUGCACAGAUCAGCUGUGUACUCAGCACAGGCUGUGACCCUGGGGCAUACACGGACGCUACAUGCACACAAGGUGUUUGCAAGAUGAUCUCUGUUACAUGGGAGAUGCUGUUCCUUUAUUGAUGGAUGGCCUUAUGUUUGCCUCUGUGAGCUGUCUUUUGCCCCAGCUUUAGGUCCCCUAGUGGAUUUUUAAGGGAUUCGGUUACCUGCAUCUCUAUCCCCGACACGUCUUCUUUUGCCUGGGGACUGUAAUGUGUAUUUGCUCAUGUCAUUAUUGACAUAUUUGGCCUGGACCUGCGAUCAUCGAUCUCUAAACAUAUUUUUUGUACUAUCUACCACCAUCGGUAUAUAUUUCAUCUAUCAUUGGAAUCUUCCUGGAUGAUUAUAUCCACCGCUGUGUAUCAGAUUGUGAAAAUCAUGGCUACAUAGUAGCAAUAAUCCUGUUCAUUUCGUCCUGAAGAAGCCCCACGGUGAAACGCGUAGGCGACUUCAAUAGGAUUCUUUCACUAUUCUCUUGUUCUGAAUGGUUGUAUUGUGAUUGUGAUCAGUUGCUUUCCAUUAUACCAUUGUUAGUGUACAUUUUGUAAAUUUAUGUAAUAAAAUAUAUAUUUUUUAUACUUCCA
Long non-coding RNA from Rana temporaria (common frog), 668 nucleotides. RefSeq lists it as uncharacterized. The transcript has 5 exons. The record is from RefSeq and is a predicted model, not a curated record. NCBI's taxonomy places the organism in Eukaryota, Metazoa, Chordata, Amphibia, Anura, Ranidae.